RNAcentral lists this ribosomal RNA (253 nucleotides) under uncultured bacterium. RNAcentral describes it as "partial 16S ribosomal RNA". It matches the Rfam family "Bacterial small subunit ribosomal RNA", at positions 524 to 776 of the family's 1533-position model. The record is from RNAcentral.
UACGAGUGCCCCAAGCGUUAUCCGGAAUUAUUGGGCGUAAAGGGUGUGUAGGCGGUUUUGUUAGUCUCUUGUUAAAGCUCCCGGCUCAACUGGGAAAAUGCAGGAGAUACGGCAAAACUAGAGGAUGCGAGAGGUAUGUGGAACUCAUAGUGUAGGGGUGAAAUCCGUUGAUAUUAUGGGGAACACCAAAAGCGAAGGCAACAUACUGGCGCAUUCCUGACGCUGAGACACGAAAGCGUGGGUAGCGAAUGGG